RNAcentral lists this unclassified non-coding RNA (257 nucleotides) under Mucoromycotina sp. RNAcentral describes it as "partial contains small subunit ribosomal RNA, internal transcribed spacer 1, and 5.8S ribosomal RNA". The stretch from base 1 to 47 matches the Rfam family "Eukaryotic small subunit ribosomal RNA", at positions 1785 to 1831 of the family's 1831-position model. Lineage: Eukaryota; Fungi; Mucoromycota. The record is from RNAcentral.
AAAGUCGUAACAAGGUUUCCGUAGGUGAACCUGCGGAAGGAUCAUUCACAAUAAGUGUUUAUGGCACUUUCAAAUCCAUACCCACCUUGUGUGCAUUGUAAGGGCCCUUUCAACUCCUCGCUCUCCCUCUCUCCCUUGGGAGGGAGGGGAAGAAGGCAGAUUGGGCUUCAUUUUCUCACACGUCUUCAAUUGCAAGUCUAACAUUCAGAGUAAUCAAAACUCGAAUACAACUUUCAACAACGGAUCUCUUGGCUCUC